Molecule: long non-coding RNA, 3821 nt
Organism: Fukomys damarensis (Damara mole-rat)
Lineage: Eukaryota; Metazoa; Chordata; Mammalia; Rodentia; Bathyergidae
Source: Ensembl
GCCAGUUCCAGCGACUUGUGGGAGAAGGGGCCUGGACACUGGGGCAGAGACCAGCUCCCCGCCCUCUUCAGCCUGGAUCCUCGACCUGAGGGGCCUGGGUGCUAGCAAUGGCUGGAGUCAUUUUAAGCUGUGGGCUGCAGGGCAGCUCAGUGCACCACAGCAGGGAGAUCCUGGCCACCAGCAGGGCUGGAGUGCUGCCACCACUCAUCUUCUGGAAACCUCAGCCCGCCCCCCAGGAAGAGGCUGCCUGUGUCCGGGUGUCUUGUAGGGGCGGUUUGUGCAGCGCUGCUUGGAGCUGGCAGGAAAGUCGGUCUAUUCCUGGUUUGCUGAAGGCUUGGGCCACGACGACGAGUAGAUAUGUUUUCUUCUGCAUCCCCGAGGUCAGCACAGCAACUUACCUGAGAAUGCAGAAUGGCAAAUGGUUCCAGCAAUGGGCCAGGCCAGGACGGUGGCUCGAGGGCCUGGGGCAGAAGUUCCAGCAAUGUGGGGGAGAGGGCAGUACAGGAUGGCGCCCCCUUGUGGAGGUACGGCCCAUUCUCGUGUUUCUGGAACAUUUAAACAUUUCUAAAACGUUUGCUGGAAAGAGAAGGUGGAGGCAGGGCGAACUGGUGAUCUGCGGUCCCUCUCCCGUCAGGAAGGCAACUUCAAGGGCAGAGUGGUGGCUGGCGGCUGGACCGGAAGCAGGGAGCUGGCCUGGGUGGUACUGAAGGGCCCUGACCCAGAAACUCGCUCCUCGUAUGAAACCCAUCAGGGGGCCUGGCUGGGGCACAGCAGGUCUAUUGUGGCGGCCUCUUCACUCCUGCCUUGGAGGAGUGACAUGGGAGGGACCCGGGCAGCCUCAGAGCAAGACUGUGUGUUCUCACCUGCAGUGGGUGCCCUGGUCCCCGCCUGGCCCAGAGAGCAACAGCCGGGCAGCGGCUCAGGAGAGGGCGGAGGUUGUGCCAAGCUGGUAAGUGACCCCGCCUGAGGAUGACGGGGAGACGAAUGACGACAGUGGACGGUGCUGACCCCGGCCUGCGUCCUCAGCCCUGACUCCUCAAUCGAUGCAUGUCCUCACCCCUCCUCCCUUCAUUUAUUAAUCCAUCCUCACAUCCAACACACGUGCUUAGCCAACCAACCUCCCGGCAGGGGCUCUUGUGUGAACUUGCAUCCUCUGGGGACUUUGGUGGCGAAGAACUGAGUGAGCUCCCAGUGCAGCGGGAGCUGAGAAAACACCUGGACACUCGCCCCGCUCUCCCUGUGUCUUGGGGCCACAGCUGACAAGGGAAAAUGGAGGUGCAGCGGGCGCAGGGUCCUCCACAGAGCCAGUGGAGGUUUCCUCAGAGGGGGACAGCUGUCUCCCCCUGCGGUGGGCCUGGUGAAAGGCCGGUGGGGAGGAAGCCCGCCUGGGACUGCGCAGAUCCGUCCGGCUGGUGGAAACUCGGCUCUUGUUCUUGGCUGUUCCUCCCCCUUGACUCCUUGGUGCAGCCUGGACUCACACCCCGCAGAUGCUCCCCAAAGCACCCACCUUUACAGGAAUCCAUUUUACACCAGCAGAUGGUUACCAUGGAGAUGUCCUCGGGACAGGGUAGAGGGUAGAGAGGGCAGAGAGGGAGGGGAGUGUCCCCUCGAGAGACCUGUGCCUGCCUGCUGAAACUACUCUCUGGCAGGCCAGGGACAGCCUAGAAGGUCAUGACAUGGAUGGGGGAGGGGGACCAUGCCAGGGUCAGCCCCAUUACUCACCCCCCUGGGCAUAGCAGUCCCUGCUGGGGCCACCCAGACCCUCUCCCCCAAAGCAGUCUCCAGUGCUUGUGAGUUGGGGCUUCUCCUUUUAGGGACCCACAGUUAACCCAAGUCAGCUUCCUGAUUAAUGGUUCCUGAAACAGUGCUUUCCAGCUGACAGGUGGAAGGGAGGGGCUGGGCAAAUUAAUGAGUUAGACCGAUGAAUCUCACUGCAUUAGCAAAUCUUCAGGGAGAGCCAGGCUGCAGGACAGACGUGAGCCAGUGCAUGGAGCCACGGGGCUGUGUGGGCCGAGGGAGGAGCUGACCCCAGCCUGGCCCCUGUGUCCCAGGCCUCACUGGGUGCCGGGUGAACUCUGUUGGGUGCACCAUUACAGCCUGGUAAGGCUGGGCACAACAGCCGUCUGCUCUCUAGAGACAGCCAGGAGCAAACAGAAGCAGUGGAGCGCCUCCUAGAAGCCCUCAGCUCUUCUGUGCACCAGCUCAGGGCAAGUCCCAGGUUUGCCCCAGGCAGGGCCGAGCCAGGCCAGGACCUUCGGGUGACCUCAGGGUGUGGCUCCUGAACUAGCCGCUUGGACAUGGUCCAAAAAAUCACAGACUGAGGUCCAGUGUCCCUGCCAGUGACUUCAGAUUUCCCAGGUAACUUCCUGUGCCCAGCCACGAGAGGACGCCCAUGGCCCAGGGAUGUGUGCCUCUUGGGCCUCUCCUCCAAGGGUUCGCCAAGCUCACCAGCUCACCAUGCACCCUCCUCCUCGGACUCCAGGGCAACGUUCGGAGGACCUGGCUGCGAGAAGUGUAAAGGAUGAAACUCUAAAUCCAAGUGCAGAGGCAGGGAAGCAUCCUCACACUAAGCCUGGGAGGCCCUGUUUCUGCCUUACCUGCUCCAACUGCCAAGUCAGAGCAGUGCCAGCCACCUUCACAGGAUGCUGGGAUGGUUGCAGGGCCCCAGGAGCACAGCUGGCCGCUUAACAAAUGUGGCAGGGUCUGGGGGUGCAUGACUGAUCCCAGCACUCUGGGAGGCUGAGGCAGGGGGAUCAAAAGUUUGAGCCCGUCCAAUUUAGUGAGACUCUGUCUCAAAAACACAGUAAAACAAGGGCUGGGAAUGUAGCUCAAUGGGAAGGUCCUGGGUUUGACCCCUGUGUCCAGCCGCACCCACACAAUCACACGUAUCUGUGCACAAACCAUGUGGGGCUGGGUCUGCAAAUUGCUGAGCACGCUCUGCUGAGUCACGGGGCUUGUGGAGACCAGGUGGCUAGACGUUCACUUGCUGUUUUCUCCCUGCAGGGGUCACCGGCCCAGCCACCCUCCUCAUCUCUCCAAGCAGAGGCUCCAGGGAGGUGCCAGGCCCAGACCCCUGGGCCUCACAGCCCUGCUUCCCAGCUGCAGGCAGCUUUUGGGUCCAGGUAUGCCGUUCCACUUGGAGAUUCCCUGAUGCCCAGGGCAGAAUCGGCUCUGGCUCCAGAGGAGGCCUGGUGAGGAAUCUGGGUAAGUGGAGUUCAGGGGCAAAGACCUCCCCAGGCUCCAGCAAGGACACAGGCGGACAGGCCCUGGGCACCUUCAGGACAUGAUCUCCCUGGUGCCAGGUGUACUGGGUUGGAGUCCCAGUAUUGUUGUAAGAUCUUGGACAAUCUGCUUAACCGGUCUCACAGUUUCCUCUUUGUGCAGCAGGGAGAGGAAAGAUCCCACCAUGUAGGGGCCUGGGAGUGGAGCAGGGGUCACUGUUGAACUGGCCUUGCUCAGGGGCUGAGCGUUUAGCAAGUUCUGACUAUGGCUGCCUGGUUGGGUCUGGAGGAGUCUUCCACCUCAGAGCAGACCUGGCCUUGGGGUGGGGCGGCUGCAGCCCCAUCUUCUUGCCCCCACCUCCGGUUCCCAUCCUGUGGCUCAGUAGCUGCUGCAGGGCCUCUGUGUCCGGGCAGCAUCAAUUGGGGGGUGCCAGGACCACAGGGGCUGAGGUUCCCAGGCCUCUCCCUUCCAGGAGGUUCAGCCACACAGAGCACCACCCUCUGCACCUGCUGCUCUCCACCCCACCUGACGGGGCCUGAGCAGAAGCUGCAGUGCCCUGGGCCUCCCACAGAGGCAAAGCCCUGGGACCAGGGAACCCC